This is a long non-coding RNA of Mus musculus (house mouse), 1662 nucleotides long. RefSeq annotates it as predicted gene, 35105. The record is from RefSeq and is a predicted model, not a curated record. Lineage: Eukaryota; Metazoa; Chordata; Mammalia; Rodentia; Muridae. The transcript has 4 exons.
ACCUGGAGACCGGAGAUAGCGUCAUGGAGGGAGGAGGGGCUAAGAUAGGCGGGGUAGGGUAGGGGUCUUAGGGCGGAACCAUGGUCUGGGAGGGGGUGAGGCGAGACAGAGUGGAGGUGGGGACGACGGGGCGGGGUCGAGUCCGCAGGGCCCCUCCCUCCCCCUCCGCCACCCUGCUAAUCUUCUUUCCCUGACCGCCCACCUGCGGAAGCUGCCUGUUUCUGACCCCACUGGUCUUCUGCGCUCACACGUUUGAGAUGAAUCUAAAACCACUCACCCCCUACUGGGAAACUCAUUCCAAAGGGACUGCUGCAUUUUAAGAAGAGAUCAGUGUUGACAACAAUGAAAAGCCCAUGAUCCUGACAUGAGCGUCCAUCAAAUCAGUAUCCAAGUAUAAGGCCAAGACUUCCAUCAUGCAAAGAAUGCAAUCUGAAACUACCAGAGCCUCCUUCCAGUGAGUACUACAGAGUACUAUUUCCUGAAUUGCAGUUGUUCAUGUCUGUCCCCGUCAGCUUUGGAGGUGAACAGAAGACCGAGUUCAUCAGUAAGAUCUCAGGCAACAUGUGUAUGUGAAGGUUGAUGAAUCAUAUGCCAAUGAGUGCAAAAACCUAAGUCAUAGCACACAUACACUGAAAAUAUAAUUAAACCAGGGUCCUCACUGUUGCUCCAUGAAUCCCCAGUUGGCUGGUGACAGUUCUGAGCUAUCAACAUGACAGAAAUUCCUCUAAGGCUCAAGUAGAAGAAAUGUGAUAACUAUUUCUGAUUGUCAACUUUAUUAUUUCCACAAUUAACUAAAACCAAGUAGCUGGGUAGACCUGUGAGGGAGUUUUCUUAAUUAAAUCAUUUGAAGUAGGAAGACUCACCUGCAAUCCAGAUAUUCUGAGGUGGGAAGAUCCACUUUUAAUCUAGGCCACACUUUUUUGUAACCACCUAUAAAAAGAACAUAGGCCAGCUUAGCCUCCAGUCUUGCUGGCAAGUUCACUUUUUCACCUGAAUUAAAGCCUACUGCUUUGGGAUUCUUUCAUAUAGUGAAGACUAGCUGAGACUGGUUUUCCAGCCUUAUGAACUGAACACAAACCCUUGUGUAUGAUUUCUUGGACUUUCUAUUGAUAAAAAGCCAUUGUUGGAUUGGCUUAGCCACAGCUUGUAAGCCACUUUAAUAAACACAGUAAAAUAUAUUCAUUCUAUCAGUUCUGUUCCUCUAGAGAACCAUAACUGAUACAUGAAGCAUGGUUAUAACAUCUCUGGCUUUGCCUUUGACUCAGAGGCAGAGCUGAAGGUGAAUGAGAAGCAUGAAGAAGAUAGAGGUUUAGGGUACCAAGAGGCCUGGCCAGCCCCACGGUUUCUCAUCUGCCUCCAACUUGCAAAUGACUACUUAAAAUGGAGUGGGUCUUCAGAGGAUGUAGCCCUGGAGGAGAUCAUCUAUGACAAUAAAAUCUUUAGGUAAUAUGCGGAGGAUGUCCCAGCAGCUAGUGAACCCUCUGAGCAUAACAACUCAUCAGAGCAUUUAUUGCAGUUCCUUUUCAGAACUGCAAAAUCUCUGUUGUUUCUACAUCUCAAGGCAGCAAUGAAUUCCCAGAAUAAUUGGGAAGAAACAUCCCUAGGCAUCUUUUGCCUUGCCCAUCAGGAGGCAGCAGCACAUAUCCUACCUGGUCCAAGAAA